GUGUCUGUAGCCUAGUGGUAAAAGGCAGCACUCUAGAUGCUGAGGUUGUGGGUUCACAUCCCACCAGACACA
Molecule: transfer RNA, 72 nt
Filed under: Cronartium ribicola 11-2
Lineage: Eukaryota; Fungi; Basidiomycota; Pucciniomycetes; Pucciniales; Coleosporiaceae
Description: tRNA-Sup (CTA) (tRNA-Sup-CTA-90-1)
Rfam family: tRNA
About the family: Transfer RNA (tRNA) molecules are approximately 80 nucleotides in length. Their secondary structure includes four short double-helical elements and three loops (D, anti-codon, and T loops).
Source: RNAcentral